RNAcentral lists this ribosomal RNA (441 nucleotides) under uncultured bacterium. RNAcentral describes it as "partial 16S ribosomal RNA". It matches the Rfam family "Bacterial small subunit ribosomal RNA", at positions 338 to 795 of the family's 1533-position model. The record is from RNAcentral.
CCUACGGGAGGCAGCAGUGGGGAAUAUUGCACAAUGGGGGGUACCCUGAUGCAGCGACGCCGCGUGGGUGAAGGAGUAUUUCGGUAUGUAAAGCCCUAUCAGCAGGGAAGAACAAUGACGGUACCUGAGUAAGAAGCCCCGGCCAAAUACGUGCCAGCAGCCGCGGUAAUACGUAGGGUGCAAGCGUUAUCCGGAUUUACUGGGUGUAAAGGGAGCGCAGGCGGCCCUGUAAGCCUGAUGUGAAAGCCCGUGGCCUAACCGGGGGACUGCAUUGGAAACUGGAGGGCUGGAGUGAAGGAGGGGUAGGCGGAAUUCCCAGUGUAGCGGUGAAAUGCGUAGAGAUCAGUAGGAACACCAGUGGCGAAGGCGGCCUGCUGGACGGUAACUGACGCUGAAGCUCGAAAGCGUGGGGAGCAAACAGGAUUAGAUACCCGAGUAGUC